Molecule: long non-coding RNA, 296 nt
Filed under: Numida meleagris (helmeted guineafowl)
Lineage: Eukaryota; Metazoa; Chordata; Aves; Galliformes; Numididae
Description: lncRNA (ENSNMEG00000007568.1)
Source: RNAcentral
GAACUGGUGUGAGUGUAGGGUACAUAUUUUUGCACUGACAUGCUUUUCCAUGGGUUAUCCUCAAAUGUUCUGCACCUUGUAGACAGUCCUUUAGUGCAAAUCUGGAGAUAAAGGCCGUAUAUUCCAGGAACAUCCUGAGGAAUCAAGGCAGGAGCCACCAGAACCUUGGCUUGUACAAACAUUAUUGCAAACUGAGAUGCUUUGGAUGAAACAAAUGUGCUGUUUCCGAGUCCACGAGGGCAUAAUAGGAACCUGCAGCAAAGACCAGGAAUGCCUUGGCACUUUCUGACCCAGGA